Molecule: ribosomal RNA, 461 nt
Filed under: uncultured Saprospiraceae bacterium
Lineage: Bacteria; Pseudomonadati; Bacteroidota; Saprospiria; Saprospirales; Saprospiraceae
Description: bacterial SSU rRNA
Rfam family: Bacterial small subunit ribosomal RNA
Source: RNAcentral
CCUACGGGGGGCUGCAGUAAGGAAUAUUGGACAAUGGGCGGAAGCCUGAUCCAGCCAUGCCGCGUGAAGGAAGAAGGCGCUCAGCGUUGUAAACUUCUUUUGAAUGGGAACAAUAAUCCCGACGUGUCGGGACUUGAGGGUACCAUUAGAAUAAGCACCGGCUAACUCCGUGCCAGCAGCCGCGGUAAUACGGAGGGUGCAAGCGUUAUCCGGAAUCACUGGGUUUAAAGGGUGCGUAGGCGGUUUGAUAAGUCAGUUGUGAAAUUCACCGGCUUAACCGGUAGAACUGCGAUUGAUACUGUCAGACUUGAAUCAGGUUGAGGUAGGCGGAAUGUGGCAUGUAGCGGUGAAAUGCAUAGAUAUGCCAUAGAACACCGAUUGCGAAGGCAGCUUGCUGGACCUAGAUUGACGCUGAGGCACGAAAGCGUGGGGAGCAAACAGGAUUAGAUACCCCAGUAGUC